CUUUUUGACAUGAUGUGUCUAAAGAUACCUGUGAAUAAGAGAAGAUGAGGUAUUCAUUGGAUGGAAAAGGAUUCCAGCAUCCAUACUAUUUUGCUUCCAUCUUAUGCUGAUAUUUUCUGACAAAAUCUAUACCCUCCCUCAAGUUUGCCAACUUGCUGUAGGUGGUCAUCAAGUCUGCUUCCCCAGGUUCAGGAGCUGAAAACAAUUAAACAAAGUGUCAGCAUGACAUUGCAGAUUUCCAGCAACUCCAGUUCUUCGCUUUAUUUUAGUGAAUGUCACUAACUGUCCUCUGGAUAAUUAGGGAAGGGCAAUAAAUACUUGCCAAACCAAUGAAGUCCACAUCCUGUGAAUGACUUAAAAGAGAUACCACUUUCUUGGGUUUGUUGGAGUUGCAUGCCCAUUGGACACCUUCUGAGAAUAUGGUAUUCAUAUGGCAUUCUUGGCAGUGAUUUUUGACAAUAUAUUUAAUCUUGCCAAAUCAUAACCGAAAGUAAUCCCACUAAAGUGCAGCCUGAUGAGUGGUUGCAAGACACAUCUCCAGUAACAGCUCCUUGACACUCCUGUCUCAGAAAUCCCCUGUUGAAGAUGAAAUAGGUUGCCUUCAAAGAAAGAGAAAGGUCAAAUUCUCAACCAGCAAAUGAAAGUCAGAAUCAAUGUGUGAACAAUAUCAUCUCAUCAGCAAAGAACUGGAAAGGAAUUGAAACGAAGAGAAAGAAA
Chiloscyllium plagiosum (whitespotted bambooshark) is the source of this 717-nucleotide long non-coding RNA. RefSeq lists it as uncharacterized. NCBI's taxonomy places the organism in Eukaryota, Metazoa, Chordata, Chondrichthyes, Orectolobiformes, Hemiscylliidae. The record is from RefSeq and is a predicted model, not a curated record.